RNAcentral lists this long non-coding RNA (1074 nucleotides) under Struthio camelus australis. Its description in RNAcentral is "lncRNA (ENSSCUG00000006163.1)". Lineage: Eukaryota; Metazoa; Chordata; Aves; Struthioniformes; Struthionidae. The record is from RNAcentral.
AUGGACUCAGUCUGCAGGCACAUGAGGUCUGAAAACUUGUCCAGCCAUAACCAGGCUACCAGGACACAUGAUACUGCUAUUAAAGAACACCUAAAAAGGACCGGCUUUAAGGGCUUUGAGAAAGAAAACAGAAAUUUCCACCUUCGUUGUUCAGGUUUUUCCUUUACAGGAGUUGCUGCAGCUUCAUCACUAGGAGGUAAUGCAUCGCACAGCAAAAUCCUUUGGGACUCUAGGAUGUGGACUUCACUUGAAGACCAACGGCGAAAAUGGCUCAAGCAAAUGAAGCAAAUGUGCCUCCGACAAAAUUGUGCUGUCCUGUCCUCUGUUAUGACCAUUUUAUUAUGGUGACUGGUGAAAGAGGCAACGUUUAAUCUAAGUUCUAUGAAACUAUCUGUAAAGAAAAUAACAUAUUUUUCUACUUUGAAAGGUACGUUCCACAUGAAUUUACAUUUUUAAGUAUGUUUAAGAAUUUUUUUCCUUUUAAAGAUGGUGACAUCUGAAUCAUAAAAAUAGUCUAUCGAUGUUUAUAUUUGUGACAAAAUAUCUCUACAGAUAUAUAUGAUCACAACAGUCGUCAGUAUAUUUUUAAGAAUAUCAAAAUAGCUUUGGCUGAUGUGCUUAAAAAGUGCCUUGUUUCAUUAGAUUCUGCAGAAUGUAAAGCCCUCUUUCAAAACUGAUAUAGCAUUUCUAGUUGCAAGAUCGUUUUAUAUUGUGAACUUUUUAUUAAAUAUGCAUAUUCUAGUAGCCUCUAGAGACUUUUAAUUUAAAACAUAAAUUAUAUGUAAUUUCAAACUCUGCUAUCUCUGACUUUAGUCACAGAACUCACUUUUGGGACUGCUACACAUGGCUAACGGUAAUAUAUCAAUGCUUCCAAUAGACGUUUUAGCUAUAUGAGGUCAUUACAAAUAUAGCUUUAGCUCUUCCUUAAGUAGACCCCAUUGUUAAUAUAAAUAUGUAUCUGUAAUUAUUGACAUUUAUAUGAUUUGGCCCCUGUACUAAAUUAUUGAUACAGUGAUGAUAAAAGGGCCUUACCAACUCUUACCUAAAUAAACUGUCCUUCCUAACUACCUUCCA